GAUGAACGCUAGCGGCAGGCCUAACACAUGCAAGUCGAGGGGUAGCAGGAUUAAGCUUGCUUAAUUGCUGACGACCGGCGUACGGGUGCGUAACGCGUAUGCAACCUACCUUAUACUGGGGUAUAGCCCGGAGAACUUCGGAUUAAUCCCCCAUAGUACUAAUGAAUCGCAUGGUUUAUUAUUUAAAGCAUUGCGGUAUAAGAUGGGCAUGCGUCCUAUUAGCUAGAUGGUGAGGUAACGGCUCACCAUGGCUACGAUAGGUAGGGGGGCUGAGAGGGUGGUCCCCCACACUGGUACUGAGACACGGACCAGACUCCUACGGGAGGCAGCAGUGAGGAAUAUUGGUCAAUGGGCGCAAGCCUGAACCAGCCAUGCCGCGUGCAGGAAGAAUGCCCUAUGGGUUGUAAACUGCUUUUAUUUGGGAAUAAACCUCUUUACGUGUAGAGAGCUGAAGGUACCAAAUGAAUAAGCACCGGCUAACUCCGUGCCAGCAGCCGCGGUAA
RNAcentral lists this ribosomal RNA (503 nucleotides) under uncultured bacterium. RNAcentral's name for it is "partial 16S ribosomal RNA". It matches the Rfam family "Bacterial small subunit ribosomal RNA", at positions 28 to 523 of the family's 1533-position model. The record is from RNAcentral.